GAUGAACGCUGGCGGCGUGCCUAAUACAUGCAAGUCGAGCGAACGGACGAGAAGCUUGCUUCUCUGAUGUUAGCGGCGGACGGGUGAGUAACACGUGGAUAACCUACCUAUAAGACUGGGAUAACUUCGGGAAACCGGAGCUAAUACCGGAUAAUAUUUUGAACCGCAUGGUUCAAAAGUGAAAGACGGUCUUGUUGUCACUUAUAGAUGGAUCCGCGCUGCAUUAGCUAGUUGGUAAGGUAACGGCUUACCAAGGCAACGAUGCAUAGCCGACCUGAGAGGGUGAUCGGCCACACUGGAACUGAGACACGGUCCAGACUCCUACGGGAGGCAGCAGUAGGGAAUCUUCCGCAAUGGGCGAAAGCCUGACGGAGCAACGCCGCGUGAGUGAUGAAGGUCUUCGGAUCGUAAAACUCUGUUAUUAGGGAAGAACAUAUGUGGAAGUAACUGUGCACAUCUUGACGGUACCUAAUCAGAAAGCCACGGCUAACUACGUG
RNAcentral lists this ribosomal RNA (497 nucleotides) under uncultured bacterium. Its description in RNAcentral is "partial 16S ribosomal RNA". It matches the Rfam family "Bacterial small subunit ribosomal RNA", at positions 28 to 507 of the family's 1533-position model. The record is from RNAcentral.